AGGUGUUGACAGGGGACCAAAUGCCCCAGAUUGAUGACAUCACGCACUCAGUGAUUGAUUUUGGCCUACAAGGCUAUACGGGUACUCCCCUUCGCGUCUAGGGCUCGUCCUAAGAAAAAGAAUUCCUCGAAGACGCCAAAAUGUGGGAAGAAGGUAGAACACAUUUUUAGUUGUACAAUUGUUUGAAAAUGUUGAAAACAAGUAUUAAUUGGGGUUUGUAGAUUAAUUAGUGUUUUUUGUCUAUUUUACAUGUACAACGAUCAUUGAGCUAUGUGGAUUUGUUGAAUGUACCUAAUUCGCUCAUGGAUCAAGAGAGGGCGGAGGAAAUAUCCAUACCUAUUUCAUCAAUGGCAAACCCUCCGUGCACUGGAGAAGCAUCUUAGGAUCCGAUACACUUUUGUUUGAUAUGUAAAAUUAAUUGUUUUUAACCUACAAUACUUAUCAUUAUAUUAAUUGUAUUUAAUCUUUGAACAUUUUUUGUAUAGGUAAUAGCGACAGUUUCUCUAUCGAUGGUGAGCCAUCCUCAGUCCAUUGGAGAAGCAUCUCAGGCACAACCAUCUACAAAGCCGCAUGCUUGAUUUUGAUGAUCCACCACAAGUUUAUAUUAGUCUUGGUCAUAAAAUGACCAAUACAUGUAGAUAUAUUCUACAUUUUUAUUGUAUAUCGAUUUGGACAUGGCAUAUGCCACAUUUUUGUAAUACUUGUAUUGACUUGGCAGACAUGCCUUUUAUAUAUAUAAAUG
Cryptomeria japonica (Japanese cedar) is the source of this 742-nucleotide long non-coding RNA. RefSeq lists it as uncharacterized. The record is from RefSeq and is a predicted model, not a curated record. The transcript has 4 exons. Lineage: Eukaryota; Viridiplantae; Streptophyta; Pinopsida; Cupressales; Cupressaceae.